RNAcentral lists this transfer-messenger RNA (326 nucleotides) under Alphaproteobacteria bacterium. It matches the Rfam family "Alphaproteobacteria transfer-messenger RNA". Rfam says of the family: Bacterial tmRNA, also known as 10Sa RNA or SsrA, is named for its dual tRNA and mRNA-like properties. Its role is to liberate the mRNA from a stalled ribosome. The record is from RNAcentral. Lineage: Bacteria; Pseudomonadati; Pseudomonadota; Alphaproteobacteria.
CCCCUUCCAAUCGCAACAAGGCUUUCCUAUAUAGGCCCUGUCAGGUCGCACCUGACUAUGGCGAUAAACGGUACGUGGAAUAAGCGUUACGGACCCGGGGGCGGUACCCGGCACCUCCACCAAAUUCUUCCGCCGGCUCGCCGGCCGGCGGAUACUGGGGGUGAAAUAGGAUCGACGUGCGUGGUAAAGACGUGCUUUUUGCUCGGCAUGGUACCACCGUUAUCGGGCCAAUCUCUAUGUGCGAACGAUAACGAAAUCGCACUCGCUGCUUAGAACCUAGGCAAGCGCGGUUCGGGAGGGCACCGGGCAACAGAAGCCCUCCCACU